Molecule: ribosomal RNA, 468 nt
Filed under: uncultured bacterium
Lineage: Bacteria
Description: partial 16S ribosomal RNA
Rfam family: Bacterial small subunit ribosomal RNA
Source: RNAcentral
GACGAACGCUGGCGGCGUGCUUAACACAUGCAAGUCGAACGGAAAGGCCCUGCUUUUGUGGGGUGCUCGAGUGGCGAACGGGUGAGUAACACGUGAGUAACCUGCCCUUGACUUUGGGAUAACUUCAGGAAACUGGGGCUAAUACCGGAUAGGAGCUCCUGCUGCAUGGUGGGGGUUGGAAAGUUUCGGCGGUUGGGGAUGGACUCGCGGCUUAUCAGCUUGUUGGUGGGGUAGUGGCUUACCAAGGCUUUGACGGGUAGCCGGCCUGAGAGGGUGACCGGUCAGCAUGGGACUGAGAUGAGGGCGCAAAUCCUAACGGCGGAAGCAGUGGGGAAUUAUGCAUCAUGGGCGGAAGACCGGAGCGGAAAACACGCGUGAGGGAAGUUGGCCUUCGGGGUAAGAAGCCAUUUAGCACGGGGUCGACAGUGAGUGACGGUUAAGGGAAAAGAAGGAUCGGGUUAAUACGUU